This 253-nucleotide ribosomal RNA is filed under the name uncultured bacterium. Its description in RNAcentral is "partial 16S ribosomal RNA". It matches the Rfam family "Bacterial small subunit ribosomal RNA", at positions 524 to 776 of the family's 1533-position model. The record is from RNAcentral.
UACGUAGGUGGCGAGCGUUGUCCGGAUUUACUGGGCGUAAAGGGCUUGUAGGCGGUCCGUUAAGUCCGAUGUGAAAUCUCCCGGCUCAACUGGGAGAGGUCAUUGGAUACUGGCGGACUAGAGGGGGGUAGAGGAAAGCAGAAUUCCUGGUGUAGCGGUGAAAUGCGUAGAUAUCAGGAGGAAUACCAGUGGCGAAGGCGGCUUUCUGGGCCUACCCUGACGCUGAGGAGCGAAAGCGUGGGGAGCGAACAGG